UCUCCUGGAAACGGGUGGUAAUGCCGGAUGCUCCGACAUGACGCAUGUCGUGUCGGGAAAGAUUCUAUCGGUAUGGGAUGGGGUCGCGUCCUAUCAGCUUGAUGGCGGGGUAACGGCCCACCAUGGCUUCGACGGGUAGCCGGCCUGAGAGGGCGACCGGCCACAUUGGGACUGAGAUACGGCCCAGACUCCUACGGGAGGCAGCAGUGGGGAAUAUUGCACAAUGGGCGCAAGCCUGAUGCAGCGACGCCGCGUGCGGGAUGACGGCCUUCGGGUUGUAAACCGCUUUUGACUGGGAGCAAGCCCUUCGGGGUGAGUGUACCUUUCGAAUAAGCACCGGCUAACUACGUGCCAGCAGCCGCGGUAAUACGUAGGGUGCAAGCGUUAUCCGGAAUUAUUGGGCGUAAAGGGCUCGUAGGCGGUUCGUCGCGUCCGGUGUGAAAGUCCAUCGCUUAACGGUGGAUCCGCGCCGGGUACGGGCGGGCUUGAGUGCGGUAGGGGAGACUGGAAUUCCCGGUGUAACGGUGGAAUGUGUAGAUAUCGGGAAGAACACCAC
This 556-nucleotide ribosomal RNA is filed under the name Bifidobacterium adolescentis. RNAcentral describes it as "bacterial SSU rRNA". It matches the Rfam family "Bacterial small subunit ribosomal RNA", at positions 146 to 712 of the family's 1533-position model. Lineage: Bacteria; Bacillati; Actinomycetota; Actinomycetes; Bifidobacteriales; Bifidobacteriaceae. The record is from RNAcentral.